AUCUUCAAGCGUAAAUAUAAAAUCUAGAUAAUAUUUGUUAGUAUUUUCUAUGGUCUAAAACUCUAGUCAUAAGGUUUAAAGGAGGAAACUUUGGAGAAGAUCUGUACAAGCAAAAUCUUACGGGUCCUAAGACCAUGUUGCACUCGUUUCCACUCAGUAAGGCUUCCUUGUGCCGUCCAUACCAACAUCCUUUUCCAUUGUAGAAGUGUUUUUCUUUGAUGAUUUUCUUUAUGAUAAAUUACUAACUAU
This 249-nucleotide long non-coding RNA is filed under the name Carica papaya (papaya). RNAcentral's name for it is "long non-coding RNA (CPAP_LNC000306)". Lineage: Eukaryota; Viridiplantae; Streptophyta; Magnoliopsida; Brassicales; Caricaceae. The record is from RNAcentral.